Molecule: long non-coding RNA, 838 nt
Filed under: Monodelphis domestica (gray short-tailed opossum)
Lineage: Eukaryota; Metazoa; Chordata; Mammalia; Didelphimorphia; Didelphidae
Description: lncRNA (ENSMODG00000030372.2)
Source: RNAcentral
UCAGAUAAGAGUUGUUGUGCUUCAGACUGCUUGUGAUACAGGAUAUAAUGUAGUAUUGUGGGGAGAAAACAGACACACGGAGAUAGUAAAUUUAUUCAGGCAUUUUUCUCAAAGGCUGAGUGCCUUGAAACCUGCUGUGCUCAUAUUCAGACACGGGGUCUUUAUCACCAAUUCAUCUUAGACAUUGUGGAUUGGACUUUUUUUUGCCUGUUAGAAUUUAAGAAAUGGUCAUUAGACGGUGGAAUCACAAAACCAUAUGCUUUUGCUAAAAUGACAACACAUAUGACCAUUAGGAGCUGUGGAAUGCGAUGCUCAGUAUUUACCGUGUGCCGUGCAAUUAAGCUAUGUGACUCUGGGCAAGUCUCACUGGACAAGACACUUAAUCUCCAUUGCCUCGUCCUUACCACUCUUCUGCUUUGCAACUGAGACUUAAUAUUGAUUCGACAACAGAAGGUAAUGGUUUUAAAAAUCAAAUCAAAUUAUUUUCCAAUUUGAUCUCUCUGCAUCUCUUGACACUUUUAUUAACUAGCCCCUCCAUCUGUUUCAGAGAUACCUGCAUUUUCUCUUCUUUCCUUAAUAAUUCCUUUUUUCUUUCUCACUGACUCCUCAUCUUUCUGAACUUUUAAACUGCAUAUUCCUCAAAAGUCUAUCCUUGAUCUUCUUUUCUUCUGAAGAUACUCCCUUGGCAAAUAUUCACUUCUAUUAAAUAAUAGCAGUUAAUAUGUAUUUAUUUGUGUUUCUAUAUUUAUAGUUAUGACUUCUCUUUUGAACCCAAUAGUUAUAUGUACAACCAUCUAUCAAAUAUCCCCAGGUGGAUUUCUCAUUAAGUACCUCAGAC